GACGAACGCUGGCGGCGUGCUUAACACAUGCAAGUCGAACGGAAAGGCCCUGCUUUUGUGGGGUGCUCGAGUGGCGAACGGGUGAGUAACACGUGAGUAACCUGCCCUUGACUUUGGGAUAACUUCAGGAAACUGGGGCUAAUACCGGAUAGGAGCUCCUGCUGCAUGGUGGGGGUUGGAAAGUUUCGGCGGUUGGGGAUGGACUCGCGCCUUAUCAGCUUGUUGGUGGGGUAGUGGCUUACCAAGGCUUUGACGGGUAGCCGGCCUGAGAGGGUGACCGGCCACAUUGGGACUGAGAUACGGCCCAGACUCCUACGGGAGGCAGCAGUGGGGAAUAUUGCACAAUGGGCGGAAGACUGAUGCAGCAACGCCGCGUGCGGGAUGACGGCCUUCGGGUUGUAAACCGCUUUCGCCUGUGACGAAGCGUGAGUGACGGUAAUGGGUAAAGAAGCACCGGCUAACUACGUG
Molecule: ribosomal RNA, 468 nt
Filed under: uncultured bacterium
Lineage: Bacteria
Description: partial 16S ribosomal RNA
Rfam family: Bacterial small subunit ribosomal RNA
Source: RNAcentral